GCCAGACUCCUACGGGAGGCAGCAGUGGGGAAUAUUGCACAAUGGGGGAAACCCUGAUGCAGCGACGCCGCGUGAGUGAAGAAGUAUUUCGGUAUGUAAAGCUCUAUCAGCAGGAACGAGACAAGACGGUACCUGACUAAGAAGCCCCGGCUAACUACGUGCCAGCAGCCGCGGUAAUACGUAGGGGGCAAGCGUUAUCCGGAAUCACUGGGUGUAAAGGGAGCGUAGACGGCUGUGCAAGCCUGAAGUGAAAGGCGGGGGCCCAACCCCUGGACUGCUUUGGGAACUGUACGGCUGGAGUGCAGGAGAGGUAAGUGGAAUUCCUAGUGUAGCGGUGAAAUGCGUAGAUAUUAGGAGGAACACCAGUGGCGAAGGCGGCUUACUGGACUGUAACUGACGUUGAGGCUCGAAAGCGUGGGGAGCAAACAGGAUUAGAUACCCUGGUA
This 446-nucleotide ribosomal RNA is filed under the name uncultured bacterium. Its description in RNAcentral is "bacterial SSU rRNA". It matches the Rfam family "Bacterial small subunit ribosomal RNA", at positions 330 to 792 of the family's 1533-position model. The record is from RNAcentral.